AGGCGACAUUCUGCAAAAAUUGAACAAGUUACAACAGGGUUUGGUAAGAUGGGCAACCUCAAUUAGACACAGAAGAGCAAGUCGUAAGAAGGAGUUGAUAACAAAUUUAGAGAUUCUGAUGGGUAGAAAAAGAACUAAUGAGAACUUAGUAGAAUUAAUUGAUGCGAAAAUUCAUCUAAAUCUCGUGAUUGAUAAGGAAGAGAUGUACUAAGAGCAAAGGGCCCGAGCUAACUAGUAGAAAUUGGGAGACAAAAAAACAACUUUCUUUCAUAGUUAUGCCUCGCAAAGGAAAAGAAUGAAUACUAUUCGAAACGAAUAUGGGAGAGACAAGUGGUGUGGGGGAUAUGGAGAAUAUUACUCAAUUAUUUUCAAAACCUUUUCUCAUCAAAAGGGUGUGGAAACUUUCAUCACAUCCUUUCAGGAAUUGAGAGAUGCAUCUCAGAAGAGGUAAAUUCGAAGCUAAUUGCUAAAUUCACGAAGAAGGAAGUUGUGAUGGCACUAAAAGAAAUGGGUCCUACAAAGGCUUCCGGGGACGAUGGAUUUUCAUAUUUGUUUUUCCACCAGUUUUGGUAUAUUGUUGGAACAGACAUUGUUGACUUUUGUUUGAGAAUCUUGAAUGAAGGUAUGGUUCUGGAUUCUAUUAAUGUUACGAAUAUUGUGUUAAUCCCUAAAGUUUCCCAUUCGAAAAACCUUGGUAAUUUUAGACCAAUUAGUCUAUGUAAUGUUUUGUAUCAAUUGAUAGUGAAAAUGAUUGUUAACCAUUAAAAACACAUAUUGGAGGACUGCAUUGAUAGCGCUCAAAGCGCCUUUGUAACGGGUAGACUUAUUUCGGAUAAUGUUCUUCUUGCUUAUGAGAUCUUGCAUACAUUUCAGACAAAAGAGAUUAUGGAAGAAAGGGUUUAUGGCACUAAAGCUGGACAUGAGUAAGGCUUAUGAUAGAGUUAAAUGGUCUUUUCUUAAGGCAAUGAUGCUACGAAUGGGGUUUCAUAUUUCUGGGUAGAGAUUAUAAUGAAAUGCAUCUCGACUGUCUCUUAUUCUAUUAUUGUGAACAAAAAAGAAAGGACAAUUUUUAAACCAAUGAGGGGUCAUCGACAAGGUAAUCCUCUUAGUCUUUUUUUAUUUGAUGUGCAGUGAGGAUCUCUCGUCGCUUAUGAGACUGGCUUUGAGGGAAGGUUUGAUAAAAGGUGUAAAAGUUAGUAGAAGCAAUCCUCCGAUUUUACAUUUAUUAUUUGCUGAUGAUUGUAUUUUGUUUAGUGAAGUGGGAAGGGGUGCAAAAAUUUUAAAUUCAAUUUUGAGGGAAUACAAGGGUUGUUCUAGGUAAUGUGUGAAUUAUGAAAAAUCCACUAUCUUUUAUAAUACAAAUACUCCUGAAAGGACCCAAUGUGUUGUUUAUGACAUUCUUGGGGUUAAGCAUUCAAAUAAUAUGGAGCGAUAUCUUGGCUUGCCAAACAUGGUGGGGAAAAAUAAGAAAGCUUCUUUUCAAAUUUUAAAAGAUCGCAUGAGGCAAAGAAUUGAUAAUUGGAGUGUCAAAGAGAUUUCUUUCGUAAAGGGGAAAGGAAGUCUUUAUAAAGACAGUUUUGCAAGCCAUUCCGGCUUAUUCUAUGGCAUGUUUCUUCCUUCCAAAAUCUUUUUGUGGUGAUUUAGAGAGUAUAAUGGCUCGAUUUUGGUGGCAAAAAGGUAAUGAAAGAAGAAUGAUUCAUUGGUGUGGUUGGGAUCGACUUCGUAAAUUAAAGGAGAAUAGGGGAUUGGGAUUUCGUAGUUUGACCAAGUUUAAUGUUGUAUUAUUAGCUAAAUAGGGGUGACGUAUUAUUAAUCAUCCAAAUUCAUUAUUAUUGCGAGUUCUAAAAGCUAAGUAUUUUCCAAAUAUUUACUUUUUAAAUGUUGAGUUACGGAAUCUACCUUCAUUUACCUGAAAGAGUGUGUGGGCUGCUUAGGGCUUGCUGAAGAGCGGUUUAUGUUGGAGGGUAGGAAUUGAGGAGAAAAAAUCAAUUAUGGCUGAUGCUUGGCUUCUAGGGACUGUAAACAAUAAAGUGUCAACAAACAUUUAUAGCGGUGAGGUCAGUUUGGUUUCGAACUUAAUUAAUACACAGCUAUGAGAAUGGAAAAAUAAGUUUAUUAAUUCUUAGAAUUUUGAAAAUCCCCUUAGCUGUAGAAGCUCAUGAUGAUUUGAUGGUUUGAUAAAGGGAACCUUCAGGGGAAUUUUCUAUGCGGAGUGUUUAUAAAUUAUUACAUGAAAGUAAUAUUGAACCUAAUUAUUUAAAGACCAAGAUGAAAAUUUUUUACAAAAAAACUAUGGAUCAGUAAUAUUCCAGCCAAAAUUAAGAUUUACAUUUGGAAAAUUUCCUGGAAUUUCAUUCCUAAUCUAGCUAUUUUAUCCACAAAAAGAAUGGCGAUGGAGACUGCGUACCUAAGAUGUGUAGGGGCUACUGAAAAUGUUGAUCACCUUUUGCGAGGCUGUCCUAUUACACGAGAAGUCUAGGUAAGUUUAAAUCUUGAUUGGGUAUUAACAGGAAUAAAUAUGAAUUGCUAGGAAUGGCUUAGCUGGGUGUUUAAAAGCUAUACUGGGUCGCAAUGUUGUUUAUUCUGCUGCUCCUUGUGGGAGAUCUGGACUAACAGAAAUAAGUGGUUAUUUGAGGGGAAGAGAAAUAGGGGUUGUGAUAUUACUGCAUGGGUCUUAAGGUAUGCUAAGAAAAUAGACGAGUGUGAGACUAGUAAAUUGACCAAGGAAACCGUGACUAUGGAAUGGUGCCCUCGAAUAGGUCCGAUAUUAAAUUGAAUUUUGACACGGCAUUUGACUAGGCACAGGCUAAAUCGGCUUCAGGGUUAGUUGCAAGAAAUGCUUCUAGAGAGAUUCUCGCCUCUAAAACUGUGGUACACAGGGCUAUUGCUUCUCCUUUCGCAGUAGAGGCACAUGCGUGUCUCCAAAUAGUUUUAUUGGGGAAAUAAAAGGGAUUUACAUUAGAUCGAAGGGGAUUCAGCUUCAGUUAUAAAGAGAAGUAAGUCAGAUCUGGUAGAUAGAUCGAUGAUAAGGGCUUUAAUAAGGAACUUACAAUGUUAAAAACUAUUCUUCCAUCAGAUAUUAUUUAAACACAUUCCUAGAUCAGCAAAUAUAAUGGCUCAUGAACUAGCCAGAGAAGCGAUGAGAAAUGGGUCACGGACUUACCUUCUCGGAGGACUGCUUGAGCAAAAUGCAACAGAAGAUGGAUCGUGCAGAAGGAGAGAACCAGAUUGAAGAUUGACUGAUGAAGGCGUUUGGGUUUUGGGAAGAGAUAAAUGAAGUAAAUGAUGGUCUACUGGUUUUUGGAAACUACUUCUUGGGGACUGGAACCGUCAAUAAUAAUAAUGAUGACAUUUAUUGGGUGCCAGCUGUGAAUCAGACUGUGGUGUUUUCUUUAUUUUGUUUUGUUUUACUUCUGUUUUUGUUUUUUUUGGUAGGCUUAGUUCAAAGCCCGA
This 3453-nucleotide long non-coding RNA is filed under the name Gossypium barbadense (sea-island cotton). RNAcentral's name for it is "long non-coding RNA (GBAR_LNC000766)". The record is from RNAcentral. Lineage: Eukaryota; Viridiplantae; Streptophyta; Magnoliopsida; Malvales; Malvaceae.